UAUUCAAAGAAAGAUAUAUUAAAUUAUUCAGUGAUCAUAAAGCUUUAAAAUCAGAAUACAGUGUGUUCGUGGUAUUGCAAAUUAAAAUAAGGCGUCGUUAUUCAAUAAUAAUGUUGUCAAAGAUUUUGUUCGAUAAGUUUCUCUUUAGAAUUAAACGUGUUACCGCUAAUCACGUGUAUAUGUAUAUUUCAGUUUCGAACUAUCAGGAAUCAGAAAUCAAGACAUCAUUCUCACGGAAUUGUCAAGAUCUUUCGAGUCAUAGAAACACAUAUAUAAAGUUUUUUUGAACAUUACUAAUUCCAGACUAGGUAGAAGUAAAUAAUCAGAUUACUCUUCUACAUGUGAAAAUAAGUCGGAAAUAUAGAAUAAAAUUUAUUCACAAGACGGUUUGUUUCCGAAAAAUAUAAAUUUGCAAAUUUAUCAUAUGUGUACACUAAGACAAUUCUUAAUUAACACUAGAACUACCACACCAGUCAAAAUGACUAGUAUAACAAAUUUAUUUAAAAAUUUUUACUUCAUGUUAUAUUUUUUCUCCGCAAUGAUGUAAUGACCUUUGCAGGGAUAGCUAAAGGAAUAAUAUAAUAAACUUUAAUUUUGUUUUAUUCAUUUAAAAUAAAAGUAAUUUUGUAUCAUGGCUAUUUAUACCAGUAUUAGUCAAAUUGACUGGUCAUUCUGUAGAGCACAGUCGUUGGAAUAAGAUCUGAUUUCUCGUUUUAUAAAGCAAUAUUUUACAAGCCUUGAAAAUGAGUAAAAAAUUGGAAGCAUCCGAAUUGUUGCAAAAACUGAAAAGGAUACCAAUGGAAUGCUCUGAUAUCGAGGAUAGUGAAUUCUCUGAGUAUGAAGGAAGUGAACCAGGGGAAAAAGAAAUUGAAAUUUGUAGUGAUAACAGUAACAGUGACAUUAAUGACAAAGAAAAUGAGUCCUCAGAAAGUAAUCCAGAGAACAUUUUCAAUGUACGCAAAAGAAGACGUGCUCGGGUGCUUUCAAGUUCUGAAAGUGAAACUGGAAGUGUACAAGCUAGUCCAAAUAGAAUUGCCGUAGACGGAACCAAGUGUGAAAGAAUUCAAGGGUCAGGUUCUGGGAGAUUACACACUAUAUUCAAAGACGCAUCCGGCUCCACAGGAUAUGCAAAAAGAAAUAUCGAAAGAUAAAGUAAUUAGCGCAUUUUCCCUAUUAAUUGACAGCCAUAUGUUGCAACAUAUAAUAUCUUGCACCGAAUCAGAAGCUUCUCGAGUUUUGGGUAAAAAAUGGAUCCUUACAGAAACAAAAUUAAAAGCAUUCCUUGGAAUAUAGUACGCAAGGGAAGCAUAUAUAGUGAAAAAUUUGAAACUUUCAUAUUUGUGGAAUACAAAAUGGGGACCAAGCUUCUUUUCCAGCACAAUGAGUCGAAAUGAGUUUGUUGAAAUAUUGAAAUUUAUUCGAUUUGACAAAAAAGAUGAUAGAAGUCAACGUUUGAAAAAUUACAAAUUUGCACUAAUAUCAACCGUAUGGGAUAAGUUUAUUGAAAACAGCCAGAAUUGCUAUAAACCCGGUGCAAACAUUACAAUAGACAAGCAACUUUCCCAACCAAAGUCAGAUGCAGGUUUACGCAAUAUUUACGGAAUAAACUCGACAAAUUCGGAAUUAAAUUUUGGCUGGCAUCUGAUGUUCAAACAAAGUAUGUUGUAAAUGGAUUUCCUUAUUUAGGAAAAAGCGAAAAGGACUUACCUGAAACGGUCGAAUUUUAUAAUAAAACAAAAUUUGGGAUUUGGCUGGCAUAAAUGCCUGGAUUUUAUAUAAAGAAACCACAGGUGAGCAUAUAUCCAGAAAAGAUUUUAUGUUUCAAUUAGCAGAAAAACUCGUCGCUGACAAUGAAAAAUCACGGAUAGAACAAAGAGCAUCUGAGAUCCAAAGUACGUCAAAGAACUCACCUUAUUCAUGCAAAUGGUGUCAGAUAGAGUACUGUAAUAAUAAUAAAACCACCACCAUUUGCAAUCUUCGUAAAAAAUAUGUAUGCGGAAAAUGCACGCAGAAGAAACUUUACGUUUGUAAGAAAUGUGACGAAUGAUAACUUUUGUAUCUAAUAAUUUAAGUUAUAUUUGUAUUUUAUUUAUUAUACUACGCUUAUUACGCUUAUUAUUAUAUUAUUAUAUUAUACUUCUAUUAUAUAUUAUAUUUACCAAUGGAAAUUUAUCUUAAUAUUCUUGUUACCAAAGAUUUUGGUACUAAAUAUUCUUCAUUAUUGUACGUAUUGUUAUUAUUAUAGUUGUUAUUAUAUAUUUUUUAAGAUCUCAGAACAUGGAGUUCCUUUUGUAAGAUAAUAAUAAAUAAAUAAAUAUAAAAAUAUUCUAGUAUUACGUAUUUUUUAAAGACUAGUCAUUUUGACUGGUUUUAGUAGAGAUAGCUACGUCUUAAAUGUCGGUAGUUCUAGUGUUAAACGCGUUUAAAUUCUAUUUUCUUGAAAAUUAAGCGGAAAAACUAAUUGUCAAAUUUUAUAUCACACUUUUUAUUUAUUUUCUCGGACGAGAGAAUUUUAUUUUGUUUCCUGUUAAUUUUUUUCCAUAAGGAAUUACCUCUGUAUCAUACAAUUACAGUAUUGUUUUGACAAACGAAAUAGAUUAAAAGAUUUUCUUAUGAAAAUGCUUAUUUACAUUUAUUACAAUUAAUGAAAUUAUAAUCUUAAUAUAAUAUAUAAUAAUCUUAAAAAAAACGCUAAUAUAGCGAUUUGCACAAAAUCAUUCAAAAUAUCAAUAUUGUCUAAGAAAGAUAAUAUAUACAGACUCCAGAAUGUGCGGUUUAUUCUAUUACUAUUAUUUCUUCCGUUUUAAUUUCUUUAAUUCACUCUGUUGCACUGAAGCUUCGCCGAAGAUUUCUUUCACCUUGCGUUUACGUUCUUCAUCGC
Long non-coding RNA from Bombus huntii, 2881 nucleotides. RefSeq lists it as uncharacterized. The record is from RefSeq and is a predicted model, not a curated record. Lineage: Eukaryota; Metazoa; Arthropoda; Insecta; Hymenoptera; Apidae. The transcript is spliced from 2 exons.